CCUACGGGGGGCUGCAGUGGGGAAUAUUGGACAAUGGGGGGAACCCUGAUCCAGCCAUGCCGCGUGUGUGAAGAAGGCCCUCGGGUUGUAAAGCACUUUCAGUGAGGAAGAACGCCUGGUGGUUAAUACCCAUCAGGAAAGACAUCACUCACAGAAGAAGCACCGGCUAACUCCGUGCCAGCAGCCGCGGUAAUACGGAGGGUGCGAGCGUUAAUCGGAAUUACUGGGCGUAAAGCGCGCGUAGGUGGCUUGAUAAGCCGGUUGUGAAAGCCCCGGGCUCAACCUGGGAACGGCAUCCGGAACUGUCAAGCUAGAGUGCAGGAGAGGAAGGUAGAAUUCCCGGUGUAGCGGUGAAAUGCGUAGAGAUCGGGAGGAAUACCAGUGGCGAAGGCGGCCUUCUGGACUGACACUGUCACUGAGGUGCGAAAGCGUGGGUAGCAAACAGGAUUAGAUACCCCAGUAGUC
Molecule: ribosomal RNA, 465 nt
Filed under: Vreelandella stevensii
Lineage: Bacteria; Pseudomonadati; Pseudomonadota; Gammaproteobacteria; Oceanospirillales; Halomonadaceae
Description: partial 16S ribosomal RNA
Rfam family: Bacterial small subunit ribosomal RNA
Source: RNAcentral